GGGGCUGGAGAAGGCAAAGUGCAGAGGAAGGAGGAGCCACUGCUAGUGGGUACGAGGUUUCUUCUUGGUACAAGGACAGUAUCAUCCCUAGACCUUGGCAAGAGAGACCACUGAGUGAGGCAUCCAUGGAACCCAAGGAAGAGGCCUACGAAGAACCUGCAGUCACCUUCUAGACCAUUCUCCCUCACCAAACUGUCCCCUCCAGAGAGCUGAGGACUGGAUCUUCCCAUGCUGACACCUCCAGUGGGAAAGAAAAUUCUAGAUUCAGCUCUGGGUGUCCAAGUCAUUAUGAAGGCAUAUUUGUCAAGGUGGAAGAAAAGGACAUAUUCUAUUUAGCAGUUUGCAAUGUCCAGCCACCUACUGAUCGUAUGUGAUGGGGGGUGAGGAGGAGAUACUUUGCAUGGCCCCCAGUGACAAAGAAGAGGCCCUUAGCUAUAGCUACUCUUGUAAAGAAGUAAUGCAUGACUCUGAUUUGCGGCUGCAGGAUAAAUCCGAACUAUUUCAGGGAGAUGUCAUGGAGAGCUCAUCUCUCAGCAUCAAAGUUGCCUCUCCUGACUUUUGAAUUUUAAGUGUUCUGUGUGGAAGAAAAAUGGAGACAACAAAUUUCUAUGCAUGGAUUCAAAGAAUCCUCGUAAUAUACAGACUACAUUCUCCCCAGCUUUUUAUCUCUAUAUAUUCUUUUUGUUGAGUUUCAACCACAUAGGGUUGAAAUUCACCUUCCCACAUUACAUUUUUCAUCAAUAGUUGAAGACCUAUGUAUGUAAAUAUCAGGAACUAUCAGAACUCCCUGCAACAGGAAACCUGACCCCCAACUCCCCCGAAAUGCAUCAUGAUAAACAGUCACUUGCCAAAAUAACAAAUCAGCUUCCUGGAACAUGCUUGCUCAAAACCAGGAGAGGAGCUUAGAGACGUCAGCUUGACUUCUGCCUCGUACGCAGGAAGGGUGACCUUCAAAGAUCAAACAUCGUCCCAAAUCUCCCUUCAUCUUGUAGUACUCCUGCUUGUCGUAGCUCCUGUUACCAUCAGAGACAGAAUGUGCUAUAACCUUCUGGAAACUUCUACUAUUUUCCUGCAACCUGACUACCCCUUAGGUGAGGGAGUCCAGAAUGCUGGCUUGAAAUGGGAGAGAGAAAGAACUGCCACAUAAUUUGCAAGAUCUUUUUUGAAAAAGAAAAGGUAUUAAGAAUUCCAGGACAGCAUUAGGAAUGUAUUAAACCAGAAUAAGGAACAGCGGAGCUUCCCCCUAAGACCCUGGUGUGUUUCUGCAUCAGGAAACCUUCUCUCCUGCAAUGUGUCGUUUAAGAUUGAACAACAUGGUGCCUUUGCCAGAAGUUAACAGGAAACCCAAAAGGAGAUGAGCCAGACUGGUUAGUUCAGAAGAGAAUCGUUGGGGAAGACAAUGGGAGCUGCUGUUUGAAUGUGGCCCUGAGAUUAUUUGUGCUUUUCAAUCCCAUGUUACCAAAACACAUUUCAAGCUGGCCUAUAAAUCACACCUUGUGCAUAAUUUUAAGUGGAUAAAUAUUUGUCGCCCAAG
This is a long non-coding RNA of Homo sapiens (human), 1534 nucleotides long. NCBI's taxonomy places the organism in Eukaryota, Metazoa, Chordata, Mammalia, Primates, Hominidae. The record is from Ensembl.